AACGAACGCUGGCGGCAUGCCUAACACAUGCAAGUCGAACGAGACCUUCGGGGCUAGUGGCGCACGGGUGCGUAACGCGUGGGAACCUGCCCUAGGGUUGGAAUAACUCCCCGAAAGGGGUGCUAAUACCGGAUAAAGUCUUCCGACCAAAGAUUUAUUGCCUUUGGAUGGGCCCGCGUUGGAUUAGCCAUUUGGUAGGGUAAAAGCCUAACAAGGGGACGAUCCAUUGCUGGUCUGAGAGGAUGAUCAGGCACACUGGGACUGAGACACGGCCCAGACUCCUACGGGAGGCAGCAGUGGGGAAGAAUGGACAAUGGGCGAAAGCCUGAUCCAGCAAUGCCGCGUGAGUGAUGAAGUCCUUAGGAUUGUAAAGCUCUUUUACCCGGGAUGAUAAUGACAGAACCGGGAGAAUAAGCUCCGGCUAACUCCUG
RNAcentral lists this ribosomal RNA (431 nucleotides) under uncultured bacterium. RNAcentral's name for it is "partial 16S ribosomal RNA". It matches the Rfam family "Bacterial small subunit ribosomal RNA", at positions 29 to 506 of the family's 1533-position model. The record is from RNAcentral.